Molecule: ribosomal RNA, 336 nt
Filed under: uncultured bacterium
Lineage: Bacteria
Description: bacterial SSU rRNA
Rfam family: Bacterial small subunit ribosomal RNA
Source: RNAcentral
AAGUGGAGCAAUCCAUGAGUAAAGUGGCGUACGGGUGAGUAACACGUGACUAACCUACCCUUGAGUGGGGGAUAACUUCGGGAAACCGAGGCUAAUACCGCAUAAUACCGAGAGGUCAAAGGAGCAAUUCGCUUUAGGAGGGGGUCGCGGCUGAUUAGCUAGUUGGUAGGGUAAUGGCCUACCAAGGCAAUGAUCAGUAUCCGGCCUGAGAGGGCGCACGGACACACUGGAACUGAAACACGGUCCAGACUCCUACGGGAGGCAGCAGUGGGGAAUUUUGCACAAUGGGGGAAACCCUGAUGCAGCAACGCCGCGUGGAGGAUGAAGUCCCUUGGG